GGGUUGUGAGGUUAAGCGACUAAGCGUACACGGUGGAUGCCCUGGCAGUCAGAGGCGAUGAAGGGCGUGCUAAUCUGCGAUAAGCGCCGGUAAGGUGAUAUGAACCGUUAUAACCGGCGAUACCCGAAUGGGGAAACCCAGUGUGAUUCGUCACACUAUCAUUAACUGAAUCCAUAGGUUAAUGAGGCGAACCGGGGAACUGAAACAUCUAAGUACCCCGAGGAAAAGAAAUCAACCGAGAUUCCCCAGUAGCGGCGAGCGAACGGGGAGGAGCCCAGAGCCUGAAUCAGCAUGUGUGUUAGUGGAAGCGUCUGGAAAGGCGCGCGAUACAGGGUGACAGCCCCGUACACAAAAGCGCAUGUGCUGUGAGCUCGAUGAGUAGGGCGGGACACGUGGUAUCCUGUCUGAAUAUGGGGGACCAUCCUCCAAGGCUAAAUACUCCUGACUGACCGAUAGUGAACCAGUACCGUGAGGGAAAGGCGAAAAGAACCCCGGCGAGGGAGUGAAAAAGAACCUGAAACCGUGUACGUACAAGCAGUGGGAGCACCCUUCGGGGUGUGACUGCGUACCUUUUGUAUAAUGGGUCAGCGACUUAUAUUCUGUAGCAAGGUUAACCGUAUAGGGGAGCCGCAGGGAAACCGAGUCUUAACCGGGCGUUAAGUUGCAGGGUAUAGACCCGAAACCCGGUGAUCUAGCCAUGGGCAGGUUGAAGGUUGGGUAACACUAACUGGAGGACCGAACCGACUAAUGUUGAAAAAUUAGCGGAUGACCUGUGGCUGGGGUGAAAGGCCAAUCAAACCGGGAGAUAGCUGGUUCUCCCCGAAAGCUAUUUAGGUAGCGCCUCGUGAAUUCAUCUCCGGGGGUAGAGCACUGUUUCGGCUAGGGGGCCAUCCCGGCUUACCAACCCGAUGCAAACUGCGAAUACCGGAGAAUGUUAUCACGGGAGACACACGGCGGGUGCUAACGUCCGUCGUGAAGAGGGAAACAACCCAGACCGCCAGCUAAGGUCCCAAAGUCAUGGUUAAGUGGGAAACGAUGUGGGAAGGCCCAGACAGCCGGAUGUUGGCUUAGAAGCAGCCAUCAUUUAAAGAAAGCGUAAUAGCUCACUGGUCGAGUCGGCCUGCGCGGAAGAUGUAACGGGGCUAAACCAUGCACCGAAGCUGCGGCAGCGACACUGUGUGUUGUUGGGUAGGGGAGCGUUCUGUAAGCCUGCGAAGGUGGCCUGUGAGGGUUGCUGGAGGUAUCAGAAGUGCGAAUGCUGACAUAAGUAACGAUAAAGCGGGUGAAAAGCCCGCUCGCCGGAAGACCAAGGGUUCCUGUCCAACGUUAAUCGGGGCAGGGUGAGUCGACCCCUAAGGCGAGGCCGAAAGGCGUAGUCGAUGGGAAACGGGUUAAUAUUCCCGUACUUGGUGUUACUGCGAAGGGGGACGGAGAAGGCUAUGUUGGCCGGGCGACGGUUGUCCCGGUUUAAGCGUGUAGGUGUGUGUUCCAGGUAAAUCCGGUUCACUUUAACACUGAGGCGUGACGACGAGGCACUACGGUGCUGAAGCAACAAAUGCCCUGCUUCCGGAAAGCCUCUAAGCAUCAGGUAACAUCAAAUCGUACCCCAAACCGACACAGGUGGUCAGGUAGAGAAUACCAAGGCGCUUGAGAGAACUCGGGUGAAGGAACUAGGCAAAAUGGUGCCGUAACUUCGGGAGAAGGCACGCUGACACGUAGGUGAAGUGAUUUACUCAUGGAGCUGAAGUCAGUCGAAGAUACCAGCUGGCUGCAACUGUUUAUUAAAAACACAGCACUGUGCAAACACGAAAGUGGACGUAUACGGUGUGACGCCUGCCCGGUGCCGGAAGGUUAAUUGAUGGGGUCAGCGCAAGCGAAGCUCCUGAUCGAAGCCCCGGUAAACGGCGGCCGUAACUAUAACGGUCCUAAGGUAGCGAAAUUCCUUGUCGGGUAAGUUCCGACCUGCACGAAUGGCGUAAUGAUGGCCAGGCUGUCUCCACCCGAGACUCAGUGAAAUUGAACUCGCUGUGAAGAUGCAGUGUACCCGCGGCAAGACGGAAAGACCCCGUGAACCUUUACUAUAGCUUGACACUGAACAUUGAGCCUUGAUGUGUAGGAUAGGUGGGAGGCUUUGAAGUGUGGACGCCAGUCUGCAUGGAGCCGACCUUGAAAUACCACCCUUUAAUGUUUGAUGUUCUAACGUGGACCCGUAAUCCGGGUUGCGGACAGUGUCUGGUGGGUAGUUUGACUGGGGCGGUCUCCUCCUAAAGAGUAACGGAGGAGCACGAAGGUUGGCUAAUCCUGGUCGGACAUCAGGAGGUUAGUGCAAUGGCAUAAGCCAGCUUGACUGCGAGCGUGACGGCGCGAGCAGGUGCGAAAGCAGGUCAUAGUGAUCCGGUGGUUCUGAAUGGAAGGGCCAUCGCUCAACGGAUAAAAGGUACUCCGGGGAUAACAGGCUGAUACCGCCCAAGAGUUCAUAUCGACGGCGGUGUUUGGCACCUCGAUGUCGGCUCAUCACAUCCUGGGCUGAAGUAGGUCCCAAGGGUAUGGCUGUUCGCCAUUUAAAGUGGUACGCGAGCUGGGUUUAGAACGUCGUGAGACAGUUCGGUCCCUAUCUGCCGUGGGCGCUGGAGAACUGAGGGGGCUGCUCCUAGUACGAGAGGACCGGAGUGGACGCAUCACUGGUGUUCGGGUUGUCAUGCCAAUGGCACUGCCCGGUAGCUAAAUGCGGAAGAGAUAAGUGCUGAAAGCAUCUAAGCACGAAACUUGCCCCGAGAUGAGUUCUCCCUGAGACUUAGAGUCUCCUGAAGGAACGUUGAAGACGACGACGUUGAUAGGCCGGGUGUGUAAGCGCAGCGAUGCGUUGAGCUAACCGGUACUAAUGAACCGUGAGGCUUAACCUUACAACGCCGAAG
Molecule: ribosomal RNA, 2915 nt
Filed under: Salmonella enterica subsp. enterica serovar Adjame
Lineage: Bacteria; Pseudomonadati; Pseudomonadota; Gammaproteobacteria; Enterobacterales; Enterobacteriaceae
Description: 23S ribosomal RNA
Rfam family: Bacterial large subunit ribosomal RNA
Source: RNAcentral